This 413-nucleotide ribosomal RNA is filed under the name uncultured delta proteobacterium. Its description in RNAcentral is "bacterial SSU rRNA". It matches the Rfam family "Bacterial small subunit ribosomal RNA", at positions 391 to 795 of the family's 1533-position model. Lineage: Bacteria; Deltaproteobacteria. The record is from RNAcentral.
CACACGCCGCGUGAGUGACCAAGGCCUUUGGGUCGUAAAGCUCUGUCGACAGGGAAGAAGUUAACAUCAAUUAAUAGUUGUUGUUAUUGACGGUACCUGUGGAGGAAGCGCCGGCUAACUCCGUGCCAGCAGCCGCGGUAACACGGGGGGCGCAAGCGUUAUUCGGAAUUAUUGGGCGUAAAGGGCGCGCAGGCGGUCUUGUCCGUCAGGUGUGAAAGCUCGGGGCUCAACCCCGGAAGUGCACUUGAAACAGCAAGACUUGAAUACGGGAGAGGAAAGCGGAAUUCCUGGUGUAGAGGUGAAAUUCGUAGAUAUCAGGAGGAACACCGAUGGCGAAGGCAGCUUUCUGGACCGAUAUUGACGCUGAGGCGCGAAGGCGUGGGUAGCGAAAGGGAUUAGAUACCCCUGUAGUC